Hypanus sabinus (Atlantic stingray) is the source of this 1232-nucleotide long non-coding RNA. RefSeq lists it as uncharacterized. The transcript is spliced from 3 exons. The record is from RefSeq and is a predicted model, not a curated record. NCBI's taxonomy places the organism in Eukaryota, Metazoa, Chordata, Chondrichthyes, Myliobatiformes, Dasyatidae.
UUUAGCCUGUCAGAAGACUAAAGUCUAGGUUUGUGCUCUACACAUUUGUUGAACGACAUUCAUUGUUGGCAAUAAACGGUCUUUUUUCAGAAACCUCUGCAGUCGUAGGAUUCAGGAAUGGAUGCACAAUGAGGCCACCACCAACUUUCUCGAUAUUUGUGAUGUGGACAAUAUUGCAUCUCAAUCACUGAGCUAAGCUGUUUAUGGUAUUCCCACAGUGCUGCUGCUUAGGGAGUUCCAGGAUUUUGAACCAGCAGUGAUAAAAGAAAGGUGCUAUAGCUCAAGGACAGGCAGCCACCAAACAAAGAAACAUCAUGGAACCUGUUCAAAGAAAACAUCAAGCUCCCAACCUGCAAAAAAAAGAAUAAACUGCGCAAAUGGCAAAAAAUUAGCAGGAAACACAGAACAUAAAACGUCCAACCACAGCGUCCUUGAAGCAGGCCGGCACUGUUCAGUUUAGUUCAGUUCAGUUGAACUUAGCACCAUGUAGUUUGGUGACUGCAGGCUGGCGAGCAGGUCCACCCAGAUCAAAAUUGCACAAAAGAAAGAGUAACCAGAAACCAGAAACACAGAUAAUAUGAACUGCAAAAGGCGAUCUACAAAUCAUGUCGAUCAAACCUGGCCCAAGAUCCAGGGCUCUGGCACCAUCUCCGGGAGCAUCAGGCGAGAGGAAGAGAGAGACCAGUCUCUCUCCCUGUCGCUCGCUGCUCUUGGAGGGGGGUGCAGCAAGCGACAGGGAGAGAGACCAAUCGAAUUCCGGCACUGAACACCCGCUCACCUUCCGCCCUCACCCUCGCUGAUUUCAGUCUUGCUCGACGCUUUAAUCGAUGAGACCGGCGAGAAGUGGAAUCUAUCAUGAGCUUGCGUCUUGUCUCCAGUCUUCUUGGCCUCCAGGAUGCACACUGUAUUACAGAUCUCACCAGACUCCCUCAGAGACCACAAAGCUCAAUCGGCCCGAAAGCACACCACUACAAACACCUCCAUUUAAAGACAGUAGCUGCAAAUUACAAAUUGCACUGCUUUAUCCAUAUGUUUAAGCAAAGAACUUCUGUGCUGAUUCAAUAUAUGAAGCCACUCUCUCUAGUGGUGAAAAACCACAACAGUCUAGUAAGUCCACACUCUGUAAACAUGAUCCACUCUUAAUUGACAAUGGUGAUAUUCACUGUUCCCUCUGAGCUGUGUGGUGCAUGGCCAUGCAGAAGCUAAAGUGCCUCCGUGCACGUACCCUUUGU